GUCGUUGUGGCGGAAUGGGUAAACGCUAUGGAUGAGUCCUAUUACUGCACUUUGGUGUGGUUGUGCAAGGUUCGAUUCCUUGUCAGCGACU
Molecule: transfer RNA, 91 nt
Filed under: Enterococcus mundtii
Lineage: Bacteria; Bacillati; Bacillota; Bacilli; Lactobacillales; Enterococcaceae
Description: tRNA-Leu
Rfam family: tRNA
About the family: Transfer RNA (tRNA) molecules are approximately 80 nucleotides in length. Their secondary structure includes four short double-helical elements and three loops (D, anti-codon, and T loops). Further hydrogen bonds mediate the characteristic L-shaped molecular structure. tRNAs have two regions of fundamental functional importance: the anti-codon, which is responsible for specific mRNA codon recognition, and the 3' end, to which the tRNAs corresponding amino acid is attached (by aminoacyl-tRNA synthetases). tRNAs cope with the degeneracy of the genetic code in two manners: having more than one tRNA (with a specific anti-codon) for a particular amino acid; and 'wobble' base-pairing, i.e. permitting non-standard base-pairing at the 3rd anti-codon position.
Source: RNAcentral